GGCACACACAGCAGCUAUUGGAGGCUACUACUGACAGUUUGCGCUACAGUUUUUUGAAAGAGAAAGAAGGGAAGAAUUAAGUACAGCUAAAGGAAUUUACAUUUCUUUUGGGGAAGUUUGCAGAGGGACAACGCAAAUGGAGCACCACUUGGGCCCCAAGUCUGUUUUUCUGCUUUGGACAAGGUAGAUGGAGCAAAGAUAAUAACAAGAGUA
Molecule: long non-coding RNA, 213 nt
Filed under: Coturnix japonica (Japanese quail)
Lineage: Eukaryota; Metazoa; Chordata; Aves; Galliformes; Phasianidae
Description: lncRNA (ENSCJPG00005010810.1)
Source: RNAcentral